Molecule: long non-coding RNA, 929 nt
Organism: Oncorhynchus tshawytscha (Chinook salmon)
Lineage: Eukaryota; Metazoa; Chordata; Actinopteri; Salmoniformes; Salmonidae
Source: Ensembl
UACCACUACCAGAUGAAAGCCAUAGGGAGUCUAGGCAUCUACCACCCCACAACGGCUAACAGAUUGGAGCAAUAAAGGAGACUAGACAACUACCACCCCACUACAGCUAUCAGAUUAGAGCAAUAAGGGAGAAUAGACAUCUACCACCCCACUACCACUAUCAGAUUAGAGUCAUACAGGAGACAAGACACCUACCACCCCAUUACCACUAUCAGAUUAGAGUCAUAAAGCAGACUAGGCAUAUACCACUAUCAGAUUAGAGACAUAAGGGAGACUAAACAUCUACCACCCCACUCUAUUUGAUUGUGAGGAAUUCUAAAUCAGGUGAACAGAAGGAUUUGAGUUCCUGUAUGUUUCUACCACCCCACUACCACUAUCAGAUUAGAGCCAUAAUGCAGACUAGGCAUAUACCACUAUCAGAUUAGAGCCAUAAGGGAGACUAGACAUCUACCACCCCACUACCACUAUCAGAUUAGAGCCAUAAAGCAGACUAGGCAUAUACCACCAUCAGAUUAGAGCCAUAAAGGAGACUAGACAUCUACCACCCCACUACCACUAUCAGAUUAGUGCCAUAAAGCAGACUAGGCAUAUACCACUAUCAGAUUAGAGCCAUAAGGGAGAAUAGACAUCUACCACCCCACUACCACUAUCAGAUUAGAGCCAUAAAGCAGACUAGGCAUCUACCACCCCAAAUCCACUAUCAGAUUAUAGCCAUAAGUGAGAUUAGACAUCUACUACCCCACUACCACUAUCAGACUAGAGCCAAAAUGGAAAAUAGACAUCUACCACCCCACUACCACUAUCAGAAUAGUGCCAUAAAAGAGUCUAGACAUCUACCACCCCAUUACCACUAUCAGAUCAGAGCCAUAAAGCAGACUAGGCAUCUACCACUAUCAGAUGCGAGCCAAAAGGGAGAAUAGACAUCUACC